UACAGAGGUCUCAAGCGUUGUUCGGAUUCAUUAGGCGUAAAGGGUGCGUAGGCGGCGCGGUAAGUCGGGUGUGAAAUUUCGAGGCUUAACUUCGAAACUGCAUUCGAUACUGCCGUGCUUGAGGACUGGAGAGGAGACUGGAAUUUACGGUGUAGCGGUGAAAUGCGUAGAUAUCGUAAGGAAGACCAGUGGCGAAGGCGGGUCUCUGGACAGUUCCUGACGCUGAGGCACGAAGGCCAGGGGAGCAAACGGG
Molecule: ribosomal RNA, 253 nt
Filed under: uncultured bacterium
Lineage: Bacteria
Description: partial 16S ribosomal RNA
Rfam family: Bacterial small subunit ribosomal RNA
Source: RNAcentral